GCUGUGGUUAAUGAUGUUAAGACUUUUUUCCCCAUCUUAUCGACCAUGGUGAAGCAGUUCUGACUUAAAGCCAAUCUUCUGAAACCACGCU
Molecule: small nucleolar RNA, 91 nt
Organism: Lepisosteus oculatus (spotted gar)
Lineage: Eukaryota; Metazoa; Chordata; Actinopteri; Semionotiformes; Lepisosteidae
Source: Ensembl